GGAAUCUUCCACAAUGGGCGCAAGUCUGAUGGAGCAACGCCGCGUGAGUGAAGAAGGUCUUCGGAUCGUAAAACUCUGUUGUUAGAGAAGAACAUGCAGGAGAGUAACUGUUCUUGUAUUGACGGUAUCUAACCAGCAAGUCACGGCUAACUACGUGCCAG
This 161-nucleotide ribosomal RNA is filed under the name uncultured bacterium. RNAcentral's name for it is "partial 16S rRNA". It matches the Rfam family "Bacterial small subunit ribosomal RNA", at positions 358 to 511 of the family's 1533-position model. The record is from RNAcentral.